This 418-nucleotide long non-coding RNA is filed under the name Pan troglodytes (chimpanzee). Its description in RNAcentral is "lincRNA". Lineage: Eukaryota; Metazoa; Chordata; Mammalia; Primates; Hominidae. The record is from RNAcentral.
CCUGCCUUUCCAAUACCUAUUCAGGAGCAAAAACCAUGAUAAACUCCCUUUGCAUCUUUUGUAAGAGAGAUAGACAAACGCUGGAGAGUUUCUCUGCAGUUGUGUGACCUUGGGUAGUUUCUUCAACUACAGAAAGAGAGUUGAGCAGAUGCUCUGGGUGCCACUCCAUCAUAUACUGGAAACAGCAUUACUUUAUAUUAAAUCAUGACCAUGGUGUAUGGCAAUGAAGGUGCAUCUGAAGCAGCCGGCACCCUAUGUGCUAGCUGGCUUUUAGAGCAGGAGACUGUGAAUCUGUGGUCAGGAUCUCUUUAGGGCUGGCUAAAUAUAUACUACCCACUAUCACUCACUGGAGCUGCAGACCCUAGUCUUAGAGUUUCACUUCUUAAAGACCUUCAUCCUUAUUAAAAUGGUAAUAUCC